RNAcentral lists this ribosomal RNA (576 nucleotides) under uncultured eukaryote. Its description in RNAcentral is "bacterial SSU rRNA". It matches the Rfam family "Eukaryotic small subunit ribosomal RNA", at positions 90 to 663 of the family's 1831-position model. The record is from RNAcentral.
UGGAUAGCUCAUUAAAACAGUUAAAGUUUAUUCGAUGGUUGAGUGCUACAUGGACAACCGUGGUAAUUCUAGAGCUAAUACGUGCGAAGAAGCUGACUCUCGAAAGUGAGGAAGCGGUGCUUAUUAGAUUCAAAGCCGACCUGCUCCCGAGCAGGGAUCGGUGACUCAUGGUAAUCAAUCGAAUCGCAUGACUGUCGUCGGCGAUACAUCGUUCAAGUUUCUGACCUAUCAGCUUUCGACGAUAAGGUAUUGGCUUACCGUGGCAGUGACGGGUAACGGGGAAUUAGGGUUUGAUUCCGGAGAGGGAGCCUGAGAAACGGCUACCACAUCUAAGGAAGGCAGCAGGCGCGUAAAUUACCCAAUUCUGACACAGAGAGGUAGUGACAAGAAAUAACAAUACAAGGUAUUUAAUGCUUUGUAAUUGGAAUGAGUUGAAGGUAAAGCUUUCGACGAGAACCAAUUGGAGGGCAAGUCUGGUGCCAGCAGCCGCGGUAAUUCCAGCUCCAAUAGCGUAUAUUAAAGUUGUUGCAGUUAAAAAGCUCGUAGUCGGAUAUCUGCCAUUGGCAGGGGGACAUC